This 498-nucleotide ribosomal RNA is filed under the name uncultured soil bacterium. RNAcentral describes it as "bacterial SSU rRNA". It matches the Rfam family "Bacterial small subunit ribosomal RNA", at positions 26 to 517 of the family's 1533-position model. The record is from RNAcentral.
AGAUUGAACGCUGGCGGCAGGCCUAACACAUGCAAGUCGAGCGGUAGAGAGGUGCUUGCAUCUCUUGAGAGCGGCGGACGGGUGAGUAAUGCCUAGGAAUCUGCCUAGUGGUGGGGGAUAACGUUCGGAAACGGACGCUAAUACCGCAUACGUCCUACGGGAGAAAGCGGGGGACCUUCGGGCCUCGCGCCAUUAGAUGAGCCUAGGUCGGAUUAGCUAGUUGGUGAGGUAAUGGCUCACCAAGGCGACGAUCCGUAACUGGUCUGAGAGGAUGAUCAGUCACACUGGAACUGAGACACGGUCCAGACUCCUACGGGAGGCAGCAGUGGGGAAUAUUGGACAAUGGGCGAAAGCCUGAUCCAGCCAUGCCGCGUGUGUGAAGAAGGUCUUCGGAUUGUAAAGCACUUUAAGUUGGAGGAAGGUUGACGAACUUAAGUACGUUUGCUAACUUUGACGUUACCGACAGAAUAAGCACGGCUAACUUCGUGCCAGCAGCCG